Molecule: long non-coding RNA, 351 nt
Filed under: Salvia miltiorrhiza (redroot sage)
Lineage: Eukaryota; Viridiplantae; Streptophyta; Magnoliopsida; Lamiales; Lamiaceae
Description: long non-coding RNA (SMIL_LNC001687)
Source: RNAcentral
UUGUUUCAUAUUUGAGAUUCAAUGCAUUACAUUAGGUGCCUCAUUUUGUGUUUCAUUUUUAAUUUAUAAUAUUUUUUGUUUAUUUUUUCUUUAAUUUCAAUUUUUUAUGUUUUAAUUUAAUUUUAUGAUUAUUAAGUAGAGGUCGUUCCAUCAAAUUAGGGUGUGUGUGUCACAACCCAAAAUCAUUUAUUUUCUUUAUAAUUUUUAUUUAAGAUUUUUCAAGUUAUCUAAUUUUUUUUCAAAAUAUUUUAUAUGUUAAAUUUAUGAGUCUAGUCACGCCCCUAAUUAAAAGAAUGUCUUUAAACAAAUGUAUUUGAAAGAGCAAUUAAGCUUAAGAAUAUAAUUUAUUCA